This 85-nucleotide transfer RNA is filed under the name Felis catus (domestic cat). It matches the Rfam family "tRNA". Rfam says of the family: Transfer RNA (tRNA) molecules are approximately 80 nucleotides in length. Their secondary structure includes four short double-helical elements and three loops (D, anti-codon, and T loops). RNAcentral also lists the same sequence under 2 other names. The record is from Rfam by way of RNAcentral. Lineage: Eukaryota; Metazoa; Chordata; Mammalia; Carnivora; Felidae.
GCCUGGGUGGCUCAGUCGGUUGAGUGUCUGACUUCAGCUCAGGUCAUGAUCUCCCAGUUCGUGAGUUCGAUCCCCGCAUCAGGCU